Molecule: long non-coding RNA, 629 nt
Organism: Apis mellifera (honey bee)
Lineage: Eukaryota; Metazoa; Arthropoda; Insecta; Hymenoptera; Apidae
Exons: 3
Source: RefSeq, a predicted model, not a curated record
AUUUAUUGAAUUUUAUUCUUAACUUCACUAUCAAUCAUUUUACUUAUAUAUGUUUCUCACAGUGAAACACACAUACUUAUUAUUUUCUCUAUUUCUUUUUCUAAGUUUCACCACUAUUAUUACUUUGUCCCACUCUUUCAACGAUUAGUUUUUGCUAGGCAAUCCUGGACGCGACACCGAUCUAUGUGACUCACACAAACGUUUCUUGCGUGUAAUCAAAUGGAUGUGUUUAUAGCGUCACACUACUUCGCGUUCAGCGUAACAAAUAUUUACAUAGCGAGUCGAAAGAGCAGGCGGUAUAGUUGUCACAGCCGGCUUUUCGGACUUGGGUACAAAAUUCGUUUAAGUCGUCCUUCACGGGGAUAUACGUUAUGGCAGCGGAGGAUACGGAUCCCAAGAGGUUUAUGUACCAAAACCGACACGCGUCUAGUAAAACAGUGGAUUGUCUCCGAGCAGCAGCUGUAAUCUUUCGGUUAGAAGUGGUUGGGAGAGGUUAUACGAUCGCUCAUAGUGAAUAUUAUAAAGAUCGUAAUUGUGGUUAUGAGAUAAGGGAAUUUAUUUUAAGAUGAAUUAUCUAAUUAAUUUUUGCAUUAAUUUCAUUGAAUUAUGAAUUAAUUUAAUAAAAAUAU